CUCUCCUCUCUCUCUUCACCUUCACGUCACUCGUUUCUUCACUGGAUCGCCGCCUUCUUGUCGCCUCGAAUCGCCACCGUCACCGUCUGCAUCAGCAGCAAGCGCCAUCGCAAUCUCUGCUCCAUCCAACGGAGACGACUAUCCUCCUUAGCAUGAGCCUCUGUAUUUGAUCUUGAUGGAAGCUUGCUACUUGUUUCCCCAAGUAUACUUCAUCAGUUGCCAAAAGAAAUUUGGAAAAUUUCUCAGGCUGCUCCGUUGCUUUUUUCCAAGCAUGGUCAAGCUGAAUCGGGAUCUACUAGUACAAAGUUUUUCAAGAUAUUUGCACUUUUUGGUGAUCGUCUUCCUCAGCCUUAUGCAAACAACCAAGCUGCAAGAUUUGCAAAUGGAGGGGCCUAUCCUCCUAAUUUAAGUCUUAUCACAAAGAUUAUCCGAGACCACUUGACACGAUUGCCAGCUUCGAUGAAGAAUGUCGAAAGAUUUCAUAAUGGGGCAGGUCUGAGAAGUAGUGUUGGAGUUGAUGGUAAAGGCAGAAGUGCGAGGGGCUGCAUUGGAGGCGAAAUGCCCGUUGAGCAGCACACAAGUAAAUGAGACAUAGUUAAGAGGCAGCAACAUGCUAAAAUGGAUGGUGAACUUUGAUCAAGUGACAAAAACUCACAGGAAAACGUGGAAAAGCAGCCAAGGCAUCUAUCAGUCGUCUUCCCCCUGUUGUUCGAGUAAUGCAACUUGGUUGAUGAAUGAGCUGCCUUCAACUUCAGCUGAGAAAUCUCUGACUCUAGCUGCGAUAUUAGGGGCCGUCUAUGCUCAGAAUCAGCAGCAAGAGAUUAAGCUCUAUGAACAUUUACAAAGAAAUAGGUUUCUUGGAAAGUAUGAUGAGGUUGAUGAAAUUAACAUUCAGCAAGUUCAGAUGAGGGCCGAGGCUUUUCUGGGAGAAAGGAGGAGCUCUGAGUCCAAAUCUUUCUCCAAUGCAUUGGAAGUGCUGAGCUAAAAAAGGGACCUAUUUAUGGAGCUCCUGCCAGAUCCCGACUCGUUGCUAGCAAGGCGGUCAAAGAGGAUAGUUGAGAAAGAUACAAUCAAGUCGGCACUAAGUGGCAAUGUAUCAGAAUAUGAGGCAAUGGAUGAUGCAAACUCGAACGAUAAUCUAUGACAGAAAAUCGAUUAUCAGCUCAAGUACUCCUCAAGAACAAAUUUCACAGCCCAGCCUUCAGAUAAGAGAGUGAUACUGAAGCCAGCUCCCCGAAUUGAAAAGCAUUCUGGGAACUUGACCUUCAGCCAUCGUUGCAGCUUCCUUACAAAUUGAAUAUAAUAUACACUAUGUAAUAAGUUUUUUUUUUGCAUGAUUGAGUUCCUUCACCAGA
Molecule: RNA transcript, 1355 nt
Organism: Salvia miltiorrhiza (redroot sage)
Lineage: Eukaryota; Viridiplantae; Streptophyta; Magnoliopsida; Lamiales; Lamiaceae
Exons: 5
Source: RefSeq, a predicted model, not a curated record